GGAGGCAGCAGUGGGGAAUAUUGGACAAUGGCGAAAGCCUGAUCCAGCAAUACCGCGUGUGUGAAGAAGGCCUUCGGGUUGUAAAGCACUUUCAGUUGUGAGGAAAAGUUAGUAGUUAAUACCUGCUAGCCGUGACGUUAACAACAGAAGAAGCACCGGCUAACUCCGUGCCAGCAGCCGCGGUAAUACGGAGGGUGCGAGCGUUAAUCGGAAUUACUGGGCGUAAAGCGCACGCAGGCGGUUUGUUAAGUCAGAUGUGAAAUCCCCGGGCUCAACCUGGGAACUGCAUUCGAAACUGGCAGGCUAGAGUCUUGUAGAGGGGGGUAGAAUUCCAGGUGUAGCGGUGAAAUGCGUAGAGAUCUGGAGGAAUACCGGUGGCGAAGGCGGCCCCCUGGACAAAGACUGACGCUCAUGCACGAUAGCGUGGGAGCAAACAGGAUUAGAUACCCUGGUAG
RNAcentral lists this ribosomal RNA (455 nucleotides) under Scrippsiella hangoei. Its description in RNAcentral is "partial Bacterial small subunit ribosomal RNA". It matches the Rfam family "Bacterial small subunit ribosomal RNA", at positions 344 to 793 of the family's 1533-position model. Lineage: Eukaryota; Dinophyceae; Peridiniales; Peridiniaceae. The record is from RNAcentral.